CUACGAGGACGAACGCUGGCGGCGUGCUUAACACAUGCAAGUCGAACGGUAAGGCCCUUCGGGGUACACGAGUGGCGAACGGGUGAGUAACACGUGGGUGAUCUGCCCUGCACUUCGGGAUAAGCCUGGGAAACUGGGUCUAAUACCGGAUAGGACCAUGGACUUCACGGUUUGUGGUGGAAAGCUUUUGCGGUGUGGGAUGGGCCCGCGGCCUAUCAGCUUGUUGGUGGGGUAAUGGCCUACCAAGGCGACGACGGGUAGCCGGCCUGAGAGGGUGUCCGGCCACACUGGGACUGAGAUACGGCCCAGACUCCUACGGGAGGCAGCAGUGGGGAAUAUUGCACAAUGGGCGCAAGCCUGAUGCAGCGACGCCGCGUGAGGGAUGACGGCCUCCGGGUUGUAAACCUCUUUCAAUAGGGACGAAGCGCAAGUGACGGUACCUAUAGAAGAAGCACCGGCCAACUACGUG
This 469-nucleotide ribosomal RNA is filed under the name uncultured bacterium. RNAcentral's name for it is "bacterial SSU rRNA". It matches the Rfam family "Bacterial small subunit ribosomal RNA", at positions 26 to 507 of the family's 1533-position model. The record is from RNAcentral.